This 301-nucleotide ribosomal RNA is filed under the name uncultured bacterium. Its description in RNAcentral is "partial 16S ribosomal RNA". It matches the Rfam family "Bacterial small subunit ribosomal RNA", at positions 509 to 807 of the family's 1533-position model. The record is from RNAcentral.
CAGUAGCCGCGGGAACACGUAGGGUGCAAGCGCUAAUCGGAAUUACUGGGCGUAAAGCGUGCGCAGGCGGUCCGCUAAGACAGAUGUGAAAUCCCCGGGCUUAACCUGGGAACUGCAUUUGUGACUGGCGGGCUAGAGUAUGGCAGAGGGGGGUAGAAUUCCACGUGUAGCAGUGAAAUGCGUAGAGAUGUGGAGGAAUACCGAUGGCGAAGGCAGCCCCCUGGGCCAAUACUGACGCUCAUGCACGAAAGCGUGGGGAGCAAACAGGAUUAGAUACCCCCGUAGUCCCUGUCUCUUAUAC